Molecule: ribosomal RNA, 247 nt
Filed under: uncultured bacterium
Lineage: Bacteria
Description: partial 16S ribosomal RNA
Rfam family: Bacterial small subunit ribosomal RNA
Source: RNAcentral
GAUCCUGGCUCAGGAUGAACGCUAGCUACAGGCUUAACACAUGCAAGUCGAGGGGCAUCAGUUUGGUUUGCUUGCAAACCAAAGCUGGCGACCGGCGCACGGGUGAGUAACACGUAUCCAACCUGCCUCAUACUCGGGGAUAGCCUUUCGAAAGAAAGAUUAAUAUCCGAUAGCAUAUAUUUCCCGCAUGGGUUUUAUAUUAAAGAAAUUCGGUAUGAGAUGGGGAUGCGUUCCAUUAGGUUUGUUU